RNAcentral lists this ribosomal RNA (253 nucleotides) under uncultured bacterium. RNAcentral describes it as "partial 16S ribosomal RNA". It matches the Rfam family "Bacterial small subunit ribosomal RNA", at positions 524 to 776 of the family's 1533-position model. The record is from RNAcentral.
GACAGAGGGUGCAAACGUUGUUCGGAAUUACUGGGCGUAAAGCGCGUGUAGGCUGCUCUGCAGGUCGGAUGUGAAAGCCCUGGGCUCAACCUAGGAAGUGCAUUCGAAACCGCGGAGCUUGAGUCUUGGAGAGGGUCGCGGAAUUCUCGGUGUAGAGGUGAAAUUCGUAGAUAUCGAGAGGAACACCUGCGGCGAAGGCGGGUAGCUGGGCCGACACUGACGCUGAUGCGCGAAAGCCAGGGGAGCGAACGGG